CAAGUCGAACGUUAGAUGAGGAGCUUGCUCUUCAAAUCGAGUGGCGAACGGGUGAGUAACGCGUGAGGAACCUGCCUCAAAGAGGGGGACAACAGUUGGAAACGACUGCUAAUACCGCAUAAGCCCACGGCUCGGCAUCGAGCAGAGGGAAAAGGAGUGAUCCGCUUUGAGAUGGCCUCGCGUCCGAUUAGCUAGUUGGUGAGGUAACGGCCCACCAAGGCGACGAUCGGUAGCCGGACUGAGAGGUUGAACGGCCACAUUGGGACUGAGACACGGCCCAGACUCCUACGGGAGGCAGCAGUGGGGAAUAUUGCACAAUGGGGGAAACCCUGAUGCAGCGACGCCGCGUGGAGGAAGAAGGUCUUCGGAUUGUAAACUCCUGUUGUUGAGGAAGAUAAUGACGGUACUCAACAAGGAAGUGACGGCUAACUACGUGCCAGCAGCCGCGGUAAAACGUAGGUCACAAGCGUUGUCCGGAAUUACUGGGUGUAAAGGGAGCGCAGGCGGGAGAACAAGUUGGAAGUGAAAUCCAUGGGCUCAACCCUGGAACUGCUUUCAAAACUGUUUUUCUUGAGUAGGGCAGAGGUAGGCGGAAUUCCCGGUGUAGAGGUGGAAUGCGUAGAUAUCGGGAGGAACCCAGUGGCGAAGGCGGCCUACUGGGCACCAACUGACGCUGAGGCUCGAAAGUGUGGGUAGCAAACAGGAAUAAGAUACCCUGGUAGUCCACCCCGUAAACGAUGAUUACUAGGUGUUGGAGGAUUGACCCCUCCAGUGCCGCAGUAACCCAAUAAGUAAUCCACUUGGGGAGUACGACCGCAAGGUUGAAACUCAAAGGAAUUGACGGGGCCCCGCACAAGCAGUGGAGUAUGUGUUUUAAUUCGACGCAACGCGAAGAACCUUACCAAGUCUUGACAUCCUGCGACGCACAUAGAAAUAUGUGUUUCCUUCGGGACGCAGAGACAGGUGGUGCAUGGUUGUCGUCAGCUCGUGUCGUGAGAUGUUGGGUUAAGUCCCGCAACGAGCGCAACCCUUAUGGUCAGUUACUACGCAAGAGGACUCUGGCCAGACUGCCGUUGACAAAACGGAGGAAGGUGGGGAUGACGUCAAAUCAUCAUGCCCUUUAUGACUUGGGCUACACACGUACUACAAUGGCGUUAAACAAAGAGAAGCAAGACCGCGAGGUGGAGCAAAACUCAGAAACAACGUCCCAGUUCGGACUGCAGGCUGCAACUCGCCUGCACGAAGUCGGAAUUGCUAGUAAUCGUGGAUCAGCAUGCCACGGUGAAUACGUUCCCGGGCCUUGCACACACCG
This 1312-nucleotide ribosomal RNA is filed under the name uncultured bacterium. RNAcentral's name for it is "bacterial SSU rRNA". It matches the Rfam family "Bacterial small subunit ribosomal RNA", at positions 58 to 1392 of the family's 1533-position model. The record is from RNAcentral.